Molecule: ribosomal RNA, 253 nt
Filed under: uncultured bacterium
Lineage: Bacteria
Description: partial 16S ribosomal RNA
Rfam family: Bacterial small subunit ribosomal RNA
Source: RNAcentral
UACGGAGGGUGCGAGCGUUGUCCGGAAUCAUUGGGCGUAAAGCGCACGUAGGCGGCAUUGCAAGUCGGAUGUGAAAUCUUAUGGCUUAACCAUAAAAGUGCAUCCGAAACUGCAGUGCUUGAGUACUUAAGAGGAUCGCGGAAUUCCCGGUGUAGAGGUGAAAUUCGUAGAUAUCGGGAGGAACACCAGUGGCGAAGGCGGCGAUCUGGGAAGAUACUGACGCUGAGGCGCGAAAGCUAGGGUAGCAAACGGG